ACAAUUGGUUUUAUUAUUAUUAUUUUUUUUUUUUUUCUUCCGCCAACUUUUUUUUCCUUCGCUGUUUUUUUGUUUCACAAGAUAUCGCUUAGAUAUAAGGUAAAUGAUAUCGAACAGUUAAUACGCUUCUGAAACUGACACCGCGUAACAAAAAACUGUACCUUGUAAGAGUUAUCUCCCCGAACACUGUUUUUCUUGUGGCCACUACUCCUUCGCAACCGUAUAAGAAACCGACAAAUUUAUUUUUCCAAAUUGCUCGUUAUAUCCUUAGGAUGUUCUGUUUCAUUUCAAC
RNAcentral lists this long non-coding RNA (292 nucleotides) under Mytilus galloprovincialis (Mediterranean mussel). Lineage: Eukaryota; Metazoa; Mollusca; Bivalvia; Mytilida; Mytilidae. The record is from RNAcentral.